RNAcentral lists this ribosomal RNA (166 nucleotides) under Croton skutchii. RNAcentral's name for it is "5.8S ribosomal RNA". It matches the Rfam family "5.8S ribosomal RNA". From Rfam's summary of the family: 5.8S ribosomal RNA (5.8S rRNA) is a component of the large subunit of the eukaryotic ribosome. The record is from RNAcentral. Lineage: Eukaryota; Viridiplantae; Streptophyta; Magnoliopsida; Malpighiales; Euphorbiaceae.
ACGACUCUCGGCAACGGAUAUCUCGGCUCUCGCAUCGAUGAAGAACGCAGCGAAAUGCGAUACUUGGUGUGAAUUGCAGAAUCCCGUGAACCAUCGAGUUUUUGAACGCAAGUUGCGCCCAAAGCCUUUUGGCCGCGGGCACGUCUGCCUGGGUGUCACGCAACAU